UUACACAUUUCAUGAUACUAUAUCUUUACACAUUUCAUGAUACUAUAUUAUUUUAACGUUACUUCAAGUUUGACAUAAAGAAAAUACUUUUAUCUUGCUAUACGCACACACACAUAUACAUACACAAACACACACAUACACACGUGCACAUACACAUACUCACACAAACACUAAGACAAGAAGGCACCGUGAUAUAGAAUUCAGAUUUCGGGUAGUAGCUGAGAACCGUUCACUUAUGGUACAUGGUUCAAAGCUAAGUCUGUGAUAUAUAUUUCUUUGUAUAAUUUCACAGCAGUCACAUGAGUGUAAUAUCUAAUAUCCGUCAUUUGUAUUGACUAAUAAGAUACAUAUAAAGUACACAUUUCUAAUUUAACCACAUUUACAUUCAGUCAGUAAUAUUCAACAAUAUCCGUCAUUUGCAAUGAAUAAUAAGAACAUAUAAAGUGCACAUUUCCAAUUUAACUACAUUUACAUUCAGUCAAUUAUUUCAACGUUCUAUUGUACCAGAUGCGCGUUUAAACACCGGGCAUCAUUUCAACACAAAAAUUAAGCACAGAGCCUAAGAGUAAAAAAGAGAAGAUAUUUUUUUAGAAGUGGCGGCGUCAGAUGUGGACUGGGGAUGGUGUGCAAGGUGAGAGAAUCAUUAAGACAGUUUAAGAUAUUUAGUUGCAGAAAAGGUGGAGAAAACAUCCGAAAUCUUCACUAGCCUCUGACACACAUACACUUGGUUCUCACUUCCGUUACACAUUCAGU
Molecule: non-coding RNA, 753 nt
Organism: Biomphalaria pfeifferi
Lineage: Eukaryota; Metazoa; Mollusca; Gastropoda; Planorbidae
Source: the annotation of a GenBank genome assembly